This 449-nucleotide ribosomal RNA is filed under the name uncultured bacterium. Its description in RNAcentral is "partial 16S ribosomal RNA". It matches the Rfam family "Bacterial small subunit ribosomal RNA", at positions 29 to 523 of the family's 1533-position model. The record is from RNAcentral.
AACGAACGCUGGCGGCAUGCCUAACACAUGCAAGUCGAACGAGAUCUUCGGGUCUAGUGGCGCACGGGUGCGUAACGCGUGGGAAUCUGCCCUUUGGUUCGGAAUAACAGUUGGAAACGACUGCUAAUACCGGAUGAUGACGAAAGUCCAAAGAUUUAUCGCCAGAGGAUGAGCCCGCGUAGGAUUAGCUAGUUGGUGUGGUAAAGGCGCACCAAGGCGACGAUCCUUAGCUGGGCUGAGAGGAUGAACGGCCACAAGGGGACUGAGACACGGCCCAGACUCCUACGGGAGGCAGCAGUGGGGAAUAUUGAACAAUGGGCGAAAGCCUGAUCCAGCAAUGCCGCGUGAGUGAUGAAGGCCUUAGGGUUGUAAAGCUCUUUUACCCGGGAUGAUAAUGACAGUACCGGGAGAAUAAGCUCCGGCUAACUCCGUGCCAGCAGCCGCCGUAA